RNAcentral lists this ribosomal RNA (253 nucleotides) under uncultured bacterium. RNAcentral's name for it is "partial 16S ribosomal RNA". It matches the Rfam family "Bacterial small subunit ribosomal RNA", at positions 524 to 776 of the family's 1533-position model. The record is from RNAcentral.
UACGGGGGGGGCAAGCGUUGUUCGGAAUUACUGGGCGUAAAGGGCGCGUAGGCGGUUCGCUAAGUUGAAUGUGAAAACUCUGGGCUUAACCCAGAGCCUGCAUUCAAUACUGGCGGGCUAGAGUUCUGGAGGGGAUAGCGGAAUUCCAGGUGUAGCGGUGAAAUGCGUAGAUAUCUGGAGGAACACCGGUGGCGAAGGCGGCAUCCUGGACCAACACUGACGCUGAGGAGCGAAAGCCAGGGGAGCAAACGGG